Molecule: RNA transcript, 2239 nt
Organism: Mus musculus (house mouse)
Lineage: Eukaryota; Metazoa; Chordata; Mammalia; Rodentia; Muridae
Gene: Dnajc7
Gene name: DnaJ heat shock protein family (Hsp40) member C7
Exons: 16
Source: RefSeq, marked validated
UUAGAGAUCCGUGGAGGAUGAAAGGAGCAGGGUGAAGACGCCCUGCGUUCCCCUCGCUUGGUUGGGCAGGGCUUCCAGGAACUGAUGAAGCUGGGGAUUGGGCUCAAAGUAGCUCUUCAUGCCUUUCCAGGGAGGAAGCUGUGGACACACUGCAAAGUCAGGAAGGAACCGUCCCUGGGCCCCCGCCCCAGCGCGGAGACCACCGUGGACCUCCAGGGAUGGAAGGCCGCUCUGGCCCCAAGCGGAGCCUCUCGUUGGUAGACGGGCUCGAGGGAGUCCCUCUGGGCGCGGCGCCGCCGAGCGGCUCGAUGCUCCGACCGGAAGUGCUCUACACCGUCUGCCUCCCACCCGGCUCUCUGGUCCCGGCGGUAAGAUGGCGGCUACCGCGGAGUGCGAUGUGGUAAUGGCGGCGACCGAGCCUGAACUGCUGGAGGACGAAGACGCCAAGAGGGAAGCAGAAUCCUUCAAGGAACAAGGGAAUGCAUAUUAUGCUAAGAAGGACUACAACGAAGCUUAUAACUAUUACACAAAAGCCAUAGAUAUGUGUCCUAACAAUGCCAGCUAUUACGGUAAUCGAGCGGCCACACUGAUGAUGCUUGGACGGUUCCGGGAAGCUCUUGGAGAUGCGCAGCAGUCUGUGAGGUUGGAUGACAGUUUUGUCCGGGGACACCUCCGAGAAGGCAAGUGCCACCUCUCACUUGGGAAUGCAAUGGCGGCAUGUCGUAGUUUCCAAAGAGCCCUAGAACUGGAUCAUAAAAAUGCCCAGGCACAGCAGGAGUUCAAGAACGCCAAUGCCGUCAUGGAGUAUGAGAAAAUAGCAGAAGUGGAUUUUGAAAAGCGAGAUUUCCGGAAGGUUGUUUUCUGCAUGGACCGUGCCCUAGAAUUUGCCCCUGCCUGCCAUCGAUUCAAAAUUCUCAAAGCAGAAUGUUUAGCAAUGCUUGGUCGAUACCCAGAAGCACAGUUUGUGGCCAGUGACAUUUUACGAAUGGAUUCCACCAAUGCUGAUGCUCUGUAUGUCCGGGGUCUUUGCCUUUAUUACGAAGAUUGUAUUGAGAAGGCAGUGCAGUUUUUUGUACAGGCUCUCAGGAUGGCUCCUGACCACGAGAAGGCUUGUGUCGCUUGUAGAAAUGCCAAAGCCCUUAAAGCCAAGAAGGAAGAUGGGAAUAAAGCCUUUAAGGAAGGAAAUUACAAGCUAGCAUAUGAACUGUACACAGAAGCCUUGGGGAUAGAUCCCAACAACAUAAAAACAAAUGCUAAACUCUACUGUAAUCGGGGUACGGUUAAUUCCAAGCUUAGGCAACUGGAAGAUGCCAUAGAAGACUGUACAAAUGCGGUGAAGCUCGAUGACACUUACAUCAAAGCCUACCUGAGAAGAGCUCAGUGGUGGGAUUGUUCCAGUCCUAGACUAUCUUUAUAGACCUCCAGCGGAGGAGAUUGCACACGCUCCCUCAGUCUCCCAUGCCUGUGUCUAACGCCCCUCACGUUACAUGGACACAGAGCAGUUUGAAGAAGCCGUGCGGGACUAUGAAAAAGUGUAUCAGACGGAGAAAACAAAAGAACACAAACAGCUCCUUAAGAAUGCACAGCUGGAACUGAAGAAGAGCAAGAGGAAAGAUUACUACAAGAUCCUGGGAGUGGACAAGAAUGCCUCUGAGGACGAGAUCAAGAAAGCUUACCGGAAACGGGCCUUGAUGCACCAUCCAGAUCGGCACAGUGGGGCCAGUGCCGAAGUUCAGAAGGAGGAGGAGAAGAAGUUUAAGGAAGUGGGAGAGGCCUUUACCAUCCUCUCUGAUCCCAAGAAAAAGACUCGUUAUGACAGUGGACAGGACUUGGAUGAGGAGGGCAUGAAUAUGGGCGAUUUUGAUGCAAACAACAUCUUCAAGGCAUUCUUCGGUGGUCCUGGGGGCUUCAGCUUUGAAGCAUCUGGCCCAGGGAAUUUCUACUUUCAGUUUGGCUAAUGAAGGCCAACUACUUAAAACCCAGAAAAUGCAGACUUGCUUGGUUUAACCAUGAGUGUGGACAGUUCACUUCCUCCAUCAUGUCCCUGUGUACUUAGAGCAGUUUCGUUUUCUCAGUCGGGUGCCCUGUGUCUGUAUGAGGGGUGAAGGAAAGGGGGCCAGUGCUGAGGACUAGGGAGGGAGGGAAGCCAGGGGUAGACAGGGAAGCAGGCAGCUUGUGAAUUUUUGUUGUAUUGUUUAACUUUAUUAAAAAAGAAAAAGAAUAAAAUGUUUUGACCGUU